CGAGAAAGGGAUGCCGGUCUCGGCCGCCCCCACCAAUUGAUCCAUGAUCGGCUUGGCCAGGGCGCCGGCAGUAGAAGGAACCCGGAAAAUGGUGAGCGGUGGAAAGAAAGCAACAUUACAAGGCUCUGAGCUGGAGGUUCGCUCUCGCUUUGCUGAUGCUGCAGUGAUUGUUAGUAGGGUGAUCGAGACAGGCUGCCUCUGACACAUUCCUGGGAAGACAGAAGAAAGGAAGAAACAGGAAGGUCAUGGAGGAGUGGCAGAAGAACAGCAAAGAACUAGUGGUGAGAAAGAGAUGUUUGAUGAGCUUCAGAGUUGAUUCUUUUGGCCAAUCGGCUUCCUGGAUGGCGG
Long non-coding RNA from Physeter macrocephalus (sperm whale), 348 nucleotides. RefSeq lists it as uncharacterized. The record is from RefSeq and is a predicted model, not a curated record. Lineage: Eukaryota; Metazoa; Chordata; Mammalia; Artiodactyla; Physeteridae. The transcript has 4 exons.